AACGCUGGCGGCGUGCUUAACACAUGCAAGUCGAACGAGGUUAAGACUCGGUUUAAACCGAGUGGCGGACGGGUGAGUAACGCGUGGGUAACCUGCCGUAUGCAGGGGGACAACAGUUAGAAAUGACUGCUAAUACCGCAUAAGCUUACAGUAUCGCAUGAUACAGUGAGAAAAGAUUUAUCGGCAUACGAUGGACCCGCGUCUGAUUAGCUAGUUGGUGAGGUAACGGCCCACCAAGGCGACGAUCAGUAGCCGACCUGAGAGGGUGACCGGCCACAUUGGGACUGAGACACGGCCCAAACUCCUACGGGAGGCAGCAGUGGGGAAUAUUGCACAAUGGGCGCAAGCCUGAUGCAGCGAACCGCCGCGUGAGUGAUGAAGUAUUUCGGUACGUAAAGCUCUAUCAGCAGGGAAGAUAAUGACGGUACCUGACUAAGAAGCCCCGGCUAACUACGUGCCAGCAGCUGC
RNAcentral lists this ribosomal RNA (468 nucleotides) under uncultured bacterium. Its description in RNAcentral is "bacterial SSU rRNA". It matches the Rfam family "Bacterial small subunit ribosomal RNA", at positions 32 to 518 of the family's 1533-position model. The record is from RNAcentral.